UGCCCUAGUAACGGCGAGUGAAGCGGCAACAGCUCAAAUUUGAAAUCUGGCUCUUUUAGAGUCCGAGUUGUAAUUUGCAGAGGGCGCUUUGGCUUUGGCAGCGGUCCAAGUUCCUUGGAACAGGACGUCACAGAGGGUGAGAAUCCCGUACGUGGUCGCUGGCUAUUGCCGUGUAAAGCCCCUUCGACGAGUCGAGUUGUUUGGGAAUGCAGCUCUAAAUGGGAGGUACAUUUCUUCUAAAGCUAAAUAUUGGCCAGAGACCGAUAGCGCACAAGUAGAGUGAUCGAAAGAUGAAAAGCACUUUGGAAAGAGAGUCAAACAGCACGUGAAAUUGUUGAAAGGGAAGCGCUUGCAGCCAGACUUGCUUGCAGUUGCUCAUCCGGGCUUUUGCCCGGUGCACUCUUCUGUAGGCAGGCCAGCAUCAGUUUGGGCGGUAGGAUAAAGGUCUCUGUCACGUACCUCUCUUCGGGGAGGCCUUAUAGGGGAGACGACAUACUACCAGCCUGGACUGAGGUCCGCGCAUCUGCUAGGAUGCUGGCGUAAUGGCUGUAAGCGGCCCGUCUUGAAACACGGACCAAGGAGUCUAACAUCUAUGCGAGUGUUUGGGUGUCAAGCCCGAGCGCGUAAUGAAAGUGAACGGAGGUGGGAACCCGCAAGGGUGCACCAUCGACCGAUCCUGAUGUCUUCGGAAGGAUUUGAGUAAGAGCAUGGCUGUUGGGACCCGAAAGAUGGUGAACUAUGCUUGAAUAGGGUGAAGCCAGAGGAAACUCUGGUGGAGGCUCGCAGCGGUUCUGACGUGCAAAUCGAUCGUCA
RNAcentral lists this ribosomal RNA (813 nucleotides) under Alternaria japonica. RNAcentral describes it as "LSU rRNA". It matches the Rfam family "Eukaryotic large subunit ribosomal RNA", at positions 76 to 907 of the family's 3401-position model. Lineage: Eukaryota; Fungi; Ascomycota; Dothideomycetes; Pleosporales; Pleosporaceae. The record is from RNAcentral.